GCUCCUAGAAACACCUCAGCAUCCAUCAGUCCAUCAGGUUUGGUGUCAGCAGGUAGCUGGGUGGAGCUGAACUGCUCCAGCAGAGCCAAGCCUCCUGCCAGCUUCACCUGGUUCAGGAACAGCAAACAUGGAGCCAUUAAUGUAUCUGUGGGGCAGGUUUACAGCUUCAGUGUUACUGAGGGAGGAGAGUUUUACUGUGUGGCUACAAAUGAUCUGGGUCAUCAGAGAUCAUCAGAGAUCCUUCUCAGUAUUGAAGGGCAUCAAGUGUUUGGACUCUAUGUUACAGCAAAGAUCCUGGGAAUUAUAGUGCUUUGCAGUACAGUGCUGGUUUAGAUUCUCCAACAAACAAAAGAAGGUAACCUAGAUGAUCUCCCCAACAUUCAAAUCAUUUCAACAUAUUAUUUGAAAGUAGAUGCA
Molecule: long non-coding RNA, 417 nt
Organism: Girardinichthys multiradiatus
Lineage: Eukaryota; Metazoa; Chordata; Actinopteri; Cyprinodontiformes; Goodeidae
Exons: 3
Source: RefSeq, a predicted model, not a curated record